CCUACGGGAGGCAGCAGUGAGGAAUAUUGGUCAAUGGACGCAAGUCUGAACCAGCCAUGCCGCGUGCAGGAAGACUGCUCUAUGAGUUGUAAACUGCUUUUGUACGAGGGUAAACGCAGAUACGCGUAUCUGUCUGAAAGUAUCUUACGAAUAAGGAUCGGCUAACUCCGUGCCAGCAGCCGCGGUAAUACGGAGGAUUCAAGCGUUAUCCGGAUUUAUUGGGUUUAAAGGGUGCGUAGGCGGUCGGUUAAGUUAGAGGUGAAAUCCCGAGGCUCAACUGCGGAAUUGCCACUGAUACUGUUAGGCUAGAGAGUAGUUGAGGUAGGCGGAAUGCAUGGUGUAGCGGUGAAAUGCUUAGAGAUCAUGAAGAACACCGAUUGCGAAGGCAGCUUACCAAGCUACUUCUGACGUUGAGGCACGAAAGCGUGGGGAGCAAACAGGAUUAGAUACCCCUGUAGUC
This 460-nucleotide ribosomal RNA is filed under the name uncultured bacterium. RNAcentral's name for it is "partial 16S ribosomal RNA". It matches the Rfam family "Bacterial small subunit ribosomal RNA", at positions 338 to 795 of the family's 1533-position model. The record is from RNAcentral.